UGGCUUGCACUCAAUGACAUGGGAAUCUA
RNAcentral lists this non-coding RNA (29 nucleotides) under Rattus norvegicus (Norway rat). The record is from RNAcentral. Lineage: Eukaryota; Metazoa; Chordata; Mammalia; Rodentia; Muridae.